Molecule: long non-coding RNA, 4005 nt
Filed under: Ananas comosus (pineapple)
Lineage: Eukaryota; Viridiplantae; Streptophyta; Magnoliopsida; Poales; Bromeliaceae
Description: long non-coding RNA (ACOM_LNC044373)
Source: RNAcentral
GAUGAUGAUCUUAGCGAAAUGUGAAGCUUCUGAUGCUCAGGCCCCUAACAUGAUUGCAGAGAAUUGAGGGUACCCGGGUGGUAAGUUCGGAUUGACGUGGAAAAACUGCGCCAUGCCGAUUGAGGAAUCAAGUAAUCGCAGGAUGGGCGAGUUUGACGAUCUGCUCGGAUUUCUAUAUCCUAUUGGAAGAGUGGCUAUCUUGAAUGUCGAUCGGAACCGUUGCGUGACCAAAGCACAGAUUUUUGGACGGCCACCUAGUGAUGGACGCUUUGCAAAUAGCAAUGGGAAUUGAAAGGUUUACACCAUAAACUAACUUGGAUUGAUUUGACCUUCAGUUAUGUUAUCAUCUAGAAGAGACUUGAUCUUGAUUCUGAAGGAUCAUAUGGGGUUAAGAGCCGAGAUGUGGACUGCGCAAUCACUAUCUUUGGUGAAUGCUUGAUCGGGUGAGCACUCCGAUGGAGUUGGGUGUUUGGUGCGUGGUAUGUACCCCCCUCCCUGAAUGCUUGCUCUGGACAAUACCCUUAGACAAGGGGACGGCUUGACGAGGGUAUUCUGAGUUGGAACUUCUAGUACAGAGCGAUUGAUAUUAGCUAGGUUUUCCCUCGACUUGGACGAGUGAAGGUGACAACUGGAUUUCAGCUUUUGUGAGACUAGCGUUCAUGAGAGACAAUGAGGACUGUGUUGAUCAAGCGCGGAUCAAGGGGAUGGCGGAAGUUAAGGGGGAAACGUAGCUGUGAAGGCUAGUCGGUCCGGGAACGUUCAGAGAUAGUUUGAUUGAGUUUGCCAAGUCUUGGCAUCGUGGGUCUGGUUGUUUUGCCGUGGAGUUUACCAGGUAAGUUUGAACCUUCGUGGUCUAGCUUAUACGCUCGUUAGAGCGUUUCUCUAUCUCUUUGGAUGGAGUCUGUGUUGAGGUGAUCCGCAGUUUACAUGGCGUACGAAACUCUUUUUAGAGGGCGCUGAAUGUAACACACUGGCUUUGAAUUGGAGGUCUUGAGUGGUUGGUUUGUGUUGCUGAGCAAUUCCAGAUUUCUGGUGGGUCGUUGACACCUGUCCGACCUAUGUGCUCGGAAUCCGUGUGAAGUGGGGCUUUAAAGCCUAGCACAAAUCCGAAAAAAUCAGAUUUUUGGCAGCCUCGGCGUAGCCUUCAGCAGAGGCGCUACCUGUACCGGUACAAGGUGAUGGUUGUACCGGUACAAGGUAGGGUUGUAGGUACAGGGACUUGUACCGGUACAGGCGGUUUACCCGCCAACCCGAGCCUCGGGUAGUGUGAUUUUCGUGGGGCUUGUAACGGUUACAAGGCCGUGUGUCCGGUACAAGGAGGCUUAUUUCAGUGCAGUUUGACUGGGGGGCCAGGGUGUUUUUGCAUUUGUGUUUUCUAUUUGAACCCCACUCCUAGGGUCUCAUUGACGCUUGGCACAGGCAGCGAGAGAAUUUAGGGAGCCUCCUCUUCAUCUCCUUCAUUUUCUUGAUUUCGGCUAUUGUGGUUUUUGGUGAUUAAACCCCCUCUUUUUGAUCUCUUCUUCGCUCUCUCUCUGCGCACGCGCCUCUCUCACUAUUGUGAGACUUGGAUGAGGCUUAGCUUGAAGGAAGUCUUGGUUUAGAUUGGACUUUGACCUUCGGUUGAGAGCUUUAAGACGGUUAGUAAGCCCAUUGGUCUUCCUGUAGAUUUGAGUUUUGUUGCUUUAUUGAUGAAUGCAAACCGUAGAUUGUAGAUUUAGGGCUUAGUUCUGGGCAUUUUGAUUCUAGGGCUUUUGGGGCUAAAUUAAUUGGAUUAAACCCUCCUUUUUGGGUCUGGAUUGGAAGGAUCUCUAUCACCUUUUUGUUGAGCUUGUGAGAGUUUUUCUCCACACUAGGUGAGAUUUAGCCUUUUGCCUUAUUUAUUCAAUGUUGAUCUUCCUAUUAGGUUGAUCAUAAUGUCGUGUUAUCUCUCUCGCUCAAUAUUUUGGAUAUUUUUGAGAUCCUGUUGGACAACUCGUUCGGAUGAAACGAGGGACUACGCGUGACGGAUCGGUGGGUUUUUGACCUGAGCACACACAAUGAGACAAAUUCUAUCAUUGUUGAUGAUUUAAGUGUUGUUAAAUGUAUUUAAGGCAUGCCUAUUCAUGUUUAGAUGCAUUAUUUGAGAAUUUUAGAAUGCUUAAAUUGCACAUGUCAUAUACCAUGCAUAUUUGACCUCUAUAUAGUAGAGAGUUUUUUUCAUGUUGGGCUAGGGGCCUACGGUUAGCAUUCUUACAUUUGAUUGAGAUCAUGUUGAAUAUGGUGCAUAUGGAAUGUAGAUUACACUCUUGGACUUAGAAUGCAUACUUGACAUGGUUGGACAAAUCGACAUUAAGUGACAUAGGCUAGAGUGUAUACAAAUAGUAAGCUAAUGUCAUAAAGCGGCAUUAGGUUUGGACUAGAUAUGGACUUAGCAAGCUAAUGUCAUAAAGCGGCAUUAGACUUAAUGGGUAUGUAAAUUGCAUGUGCAUGUUAUUAUUAUGAGAAUUAUGCCAAGUUGAUAGUUGCAUUGGAUAGAAUAAGCUAACGUCAUAAAGAGAUUUAGAAGGUGAAAUGUGCUUAGAUUAUAGCAAUGUUUAAGUGUCAUAAAGAGGCACUAAACAUAGUGAAUGUCGGAACUUCACCUUGAGAUUUAGACUUAGUAAAGCUAAGGUCAUUGACAUCGAAAUUAUUGAACAGUUAAACCUUCACAUUGAGAUAUAGUACUAGACCUUCGGGAUGCUAGUGACUGUUACCAUGUUAGAGACAUGAUGAUUGGGUACUUGAGAUUUUGACCAUGCUUGUUUGCCAUUUGUGCUCAUUCGCACAUGCUUGUACGGGUCGCUCCCUACAAGCCGGCACUCCGGAGUUAGCCUACGCGACUUAUGUUCGCUCGUGCGGUAUUGAGUAGCCUACGGGGCCUGGAGGGUUAGACUCAUUCCUAGAGUGGGGAUGCUGGAGCUACCACUGGCACUUAGGCGGCACAAGCCGGACUACACCUGCGUAGAUCCUGAUUGAGAUUGAACCAGAAUAUUAAACAACAAGUUUACAUUCACUACUAGCUAGGUUAUAGCAGUUGGACUCUUGAUAUGCUAUGGCAUAGGGUUGGACAUUUGGGUAUUUAGUGUACAUAACAUUAUCGCUUGUUGCAUUGUAGUACACUUGGUUGCCAUGAUAAUACAUACUAGAUAUGUUGUUGGCUUUGGGACAUAUUAUACUCCAUAGUAUUAUUCGCUGCAUUAUAGCAUAUUUGUUUAAAUAUUGGCAUACUGGAUCAUGUAGAGUAGAUGUACUCCAUGUUGACAUUCUACAUACUUGUGGCAUAGUAAACUAGCAUCUUAUUAUUAUGCUUCAUUUACCGCAGUUAAUUUCUAUUAUCUUUAUCUGCUCUCUUUUGGGCCUAGUGGUGCAGUUGGUGCAGGUCAGUAAUUGCCCACUGGGAACUAUAAAUUAUAGUUCUCAUGCCCCAUGUUUUAUGUUUUCUUUCAGAGCCUUCCACUUCGGGAGGGGCUCGGGAUCGCGGGAGAGGUUUCGCCUCGAGCUAGCUAUCGAGGGAUUUGGCGAUAGGUGGUCGGCCUCUCUUUUGUUUUCUGUUGGAGAGGUUGUGAGAGUUUUGUACCUUGUUAUAGAGACCACCCUACUUUUGUAUCUGGAGACUUAUGAUGUAUUAGUUUCUUUAUGUUCUAGUGGUUUAGUUUCUUUUUCUUUCCUUUUUACUUCCGUUUACUGAUAGAACUUAGCUGCAUACUUGCUCUGAUAUCGUUAGUUAUUGUUUAUUUUAUCUUUCAUAUCACCUUGUUGUAGACGCCUUAUAUGUGCAGGCAUAUGGCGGGUCUGGGCACGCACCGAGCAGGGCCUAUGCCGGGUCCCGGGGCGUGACAGAUUAAUUUGGUAUCAGAGCCUAGGGUUGAGUCUUAGUGGACCUAGCGAACCUUAGGCCGGUUGGACUAUAGGGAUUAGACUCGUGAGAGACGAGGUCUAUUUGACUUGUAAGGGAAAGUACAAUGAUUGGGUUUACUUGAUAACUCU